Molecule: long non-coding RNA, 962 nt
Organism: Camelina sativa (false flax)
Lineage: Eukaryota; Viridiplantae; Streptophyta; Magnoliopsida; Brassicales; Brassicaceae
Source: RefSeq, a predicted model, not a curated record
GGGCCAUUUUGGCAACAUUAUUAUAGCCCAAUUAAUAAAAUUAGAGCCAUCGAGCCCACCAAACUAAAACAUUCAGAAAAAAAGAAAAGAAAAAACUUCUUCAUCGCCAUCUCUUUCACCACCUUGAUCGACUCAUCUUCCACAUACCUGAAAUCCUAAAUCGAUUCAACUUACUCAAAAAAAAACUACAGUUAUCAAAACUCAGAGCUUCCCCACUCCGUCUUCUUGAAAGUCAGAUUUAAUGGCCAUUAUCUCCAAACUCAUCAACAGUUUCAAAAGUCGAAUCGCUAUACCUUCCAUCCAUUUCCGCUCAAGUUUAACCCAUAAAUCUACUACUCUCCCUUCCCUUUCCUCACCAUAAUCUUAAUAUUUGACAGCGACGUGGGUUUUCGUCUCUUGGUCGGCCACAGAACAAGAUAGACAUCACGCACAUGGUUUGGGGAAAUGGUUUUGCGACUCCACCAAGAUCAAAGACGAUAAAAAUAAAAGCGGUUGCCAAGUUGUAUUCACUCGAGACAAAAGUCUAUAGUAAGCGUAGUAGGUCGAUCCAUGCCCACCGGUUCAACUCCGAUGAACAAGAGAUCUCUCUCAAGUAUUCUAGAUCAGCUGUUUAGUUCAGAAUUCAGAUUAAGCAUUUAUGCCGUUCUUACUCUCAUGAUUCAUUGGAAGAUAUAGAAGGAUCAGAGCCACAACUACUCAUAGUUACUAACUGGAAUCUCCUCCAAAAAUUGACCUCGGAUUAGUUAAUAGCAAUACAAGAGUUUGAGAUGAGAAUUGAGUGCCAAGUUGAAGAUGAAUACUACCAGGUUAUUGCUAAGCAUUGGUUGCAAUGGCAUGGACUCUUUAGCUUAUAGUCAAUUUGAUUUAUGCUAGCUUGUCAUUCUGAUUUAAGUUUUUCUUUACAACAAUAUAAUAUUUUAUUGCAUAUGUUUUGUAUUGUGUUUUAACUUUUAACCCAUUGA